UACAGAGGUGGCAAGCGUUGUUCGGAAUUACUGGGCGUAAAGGGCGCGUAGGCGGUCUUGCAAGUCCCGUGUGAAAUCCCUCGGCUCAACUGAGGAAUGGCACGGGAAACUGCUUGGCUUGAGUUCGGGAGAGGGAAGCGGAAUUCCGGGUGUAGCGGUGAAAUGCGUAGAUAUCCGGAGGAACACCGGUGGCGAAGGCGACUUCCUGGACCAAUACUGACGCUCAGGUGCGAAAGCGUGGGGAGCAAACAGG
Molecule: ribosomal RNA, 253 nt
Filed under: uncultured bacterium
Lineage: Bacteria
Description: partial 16S ribosomal RNA
Rfam family: Bacterial small subunit ribosomal RNA
Source: RNAcentral